GAUGAACGCUGGCGGCGUGCCCAAUACAUGCAAGUCGAGCGAACGGACGAGAAGCUUGCUUUUCUGAUGUUAGCGGCGGACGGGUGAGUAACACGUGGAUAACCUACCUAUAAGACUGGGAUAACUUCGGGAAACCGGAGCUAAUACCGGAUAAUAUUUUGAACCGCAUGGUUCAAAAGUGAAAGACGGUCUUGCUGUCACUUAUAGAUGGAUCCGCGCUGCAUUAGCUAGUUGGUAAGGUAACGGCCUACCAAGGCAACGAUGCAUAGCCGACCUGAGAGGGUGAUCGGCCACACUGGAACUGAGACACGGUCCAGACUCCUACGGGAGGCAGCAGUAGGGAAUCUUCCGCAAUGGGCGAAAGCCUGACGGAGCAACGCCGCGUGAGUGAUGAAGGUCUUCGGAUCGUAAAACUCUGUUAUUAGGGAAGAACAUAUGUGUAAGUAACUGUGCACAUCUUGACGGUACCUAAUCAGAAAGCCACGGCUAACUACGUG
RNAcentral lists this ribosomal RNA (497 nucleotides) under uncultured bacterium. RNAcentral describes it as "partial 16S ribosomal RNA". It matches the Rfam family "Bacterial small subunit ribosomal RNA", at positions 28 to 507 of the family's 1533-position model. The record is from RNAcentral.